Molecule: long non-coding RNA, 409 nt
Filed under: Homo sapiens (human)
Lineage: Eukaryota; Metazoa; Chordata; Mammalia; Primates; Hominidae
Description: non-protein coding lnc-MECP2-2:5
Source: RNAcentral
AAAAUAGCAGAUCAUCACAAAAGUAGGUUUUACAUAAAUGAGGAGGAAUCCACAGGGUUGUGUAUAUGUGUGUGUAUUUUAAAUUCUGACAUAAGUUGGAGCUUUAGGGUAGACUGUGACAUAAGAGUAGUUUGUUUUCCAACUCAUGUAAUUGCCGGCUGAUUUUUGUCUUGAAUUAUGAUAAUGGUAACUUCUGUUGAAACAAUUCUGUAUUCAUCUUAGCUUGGUUGGGAUGCAAUAAAAGUUUUGUACUGGUAAAAAUGAUAAUUUUCUUCCAUGAUGAUUUUGAAGCUUUUCUGUAACACCUGAUAAAAAUAGAGGGGCCAGGCAUGGUGGCUCAUGCCUGUAGUCCCAGCUACUCGGGAGGAUGAGGUGAGAGGAUCCCAUGAGCCCGUGCAGCCAUCAGCCC